RNAcentral lists this transfer RNA (82 nucleotides) under Gongylonema pulchrum. It matches the Rfam family "tRNA". Rfam says of the family: Transfer RNA (tRNA) molecules are approximately 80 nucleotides in length. Their secondary structure includes four short double-helical elements and three loops (D, anti-codon, and T loops). Further hydrogen bonds mediate the characteristic L-shaped molecular structure. tRNAs have two regions of fundamental functional importance: the anti-codon, which is responsible for specific mRNA codon recognition, and the 3' end, to which the tRNAs corresponding amino acid is attached (by aminoacyl-tRNA synthetases). tRNAs cope with the degeneracy of the genetic code in two manners: having more than one tRNA (with a specific anti-codon) for a particular amino acid; and 'wobble' base-pairing, i.e. permitting non-standard base-pairing at the 3rd anti-codon position. Lineage: Eukaryota; Metazoa; Nematoda; Chromadorea; Rhabditida; Gongylonematidae. The record is from Rfam by way of RNAcentral.
ACAGUGGUGUUCGAGUGGUUAAGGAGUUUGACUCGAAAUCAGACGGACUUUGCCCGCGUAUGUUCGAAUCCUGCCCGCUGCG